Molecule: ribosomal RNA, 401 nt
Filed under: uncultured bacterium
Lineage: Bacteria
Description: bacterial SSU rRNA
Rfam family: Bacterial small subunit ribosomal RNA
Source: RNAcentral
GGGGAAUAUUGCACAAUGGGGGAAACCCUGAUGCAGCAACGCCGCGUGAGUGAUGACGGCCUUCGGGUUGUAAAGCUCUGUCUUCAGGGACGAUAAUGACGGUACCUGAGGAGGAAGCCACGGCUAACUACGUGCCAGUAGCCGCGGUAAUACGUAGGUGGCAAGCGUUGUCCGGAUUUACUGGGCGUAAAGGGAGCGUAGGCGGACUUUUAAGUGAGAUGUGAAAUACCCGGGCUCAACCUGGGUGCUGCAUUUCAAACUGGAAGUCUAGAGUGCAGGAGAGGAGGGUGGAAUUCCUAGUGUAGCGGUGAAAUGCGUAGAGAUUAGGAAGAACACCAGUGGCGAAGGCGACUCUCUGGACUGUAACUGACGCUGAGGCUCGAAAGCGUGGGGAGCAAACA